Molecule: ribosomal RNA, 393 nt
Filed under: uncultured Arsenophonus sp.
Lineage: Bacteria; Pseudomonadati; Pseudomonadota; Gammaproteobacteria; Enterobacterales; Morganellaceae
Description: bacterial SSU rRNA
Rfam family: Bacterial small subunit ribosomal RNA
Source: RNAcentral
AAUUCGAUUAACGCGAAGAACCUUACCUACUCUUGACAUCCAGAGAAGCUUUUAGAGAUAGAGGCGUGCCUUCGGGAACUUUGAGACAGGUGCUGCAUGGCUGUCGUCAGCUCGUGUUGUGAAAUGUUGGGUUAAGUCCCGCAACGAGCGCAACCCUUAUCCUUUGUUGCCAGCGAUACGGUCGGGAACUCAAAGGAGACUGCCGGUGAUAAACCGGAGGAAGGUGGGGAUGACGUCAAGUCAUCAUGGCCCUUACGAGUAGGGCUACACACGUGCUACAAUGGCGUAUACAGAGAGAGGCGAGCCUGCGAGGGGAAGCGGAACUCAGAAAGUACAUGAGUCCGGAUUGGAGUCUGCAACUCGACUCCAUGAAGUCGGAAUCGCUAGUAAUCG